Molecule: ribosomal RNA, 1407 nt
Filed under: Pantoea cypripedii
Lineage: Bacteria; Pseudomonadati; Pseudomonadota; Gammaproteobacteria; Enterobacterales; Erwiniaceae
Description: bacterial SSU rRNA
Rfam family: Bacterial small subunit ribosomal RNA
Source: RNAcentral
CGGCAGGCCUACACAUGCAAGUCGACGGUAGCACAGAGGAGCUUGCUCCUUGGGUGACGAGUGGCGGACGGGUGAGUAAUGUCUGGGGAUCUGCCCGAUGGAGGGGGAUAACUACUGGAAACGGUAGCUAAUACCGCAUAACGUCGCAAGACCAAAGUGGGGGACCUUCGGGCCUCACACCAUCGGAUGAACCCAGAUGGGAUUAGCUAGUAGGUGGGGUAACGGCUCACCUAGGCGACGAUCCCUAGCUGGUCUGAGAGGAUGACCAGCCACACUGGAACUGAGACACGGUCCAGACUCCUACGGGAGGCAGCAGUGGGGAAUAUUGCACAAUGGGCGCAAGCCUGAUGCAGCCAUGCCGCGUGUAUGAAGAAGGCCUUCGGGUUGUAAAGUACUUUCAGCGGGGAGGAAGGUGGUGAGGUUAAUAACCUCAUCAAUUGACGUUACCCGCAGAAGAAGCACCGGCUAACUCCGUGCCAGCAGCCGCGGUAAUACGGAGGGUGCAAGCGUUAAUCGGAAUUACUGGGCGUAAAGCGCACGCAGGCGGUCUGUCAAGUCGGAUGUGAAAUCCCCGGGCUUAACCUGGGAACUGCAUUCGAAACUGGCAGGCUCGAGUCUCGUAGAGGGGGGUAGAAUUCCAGGUGUAGCGGUGAAAUGCGUAGAGAUCUGGAGGAAUACCGGUGGCGAAGGCGGCCCCCUGGACGAAGACUGACGCUCAGGUGCGAAAGCGUGGGGAGCAAACAGGAUUAGAUACCCUGGUAGUCCACGCCGUAAACGAUGUCGACUUGGAGGUUGUGCCCUUGAGGCGUGGCUUCCGGAGCUAACGCGUUAAGUCGACCGCCUGGGGAGUACGGCCGCAAGGUUAAAACUCAAAUGAAUUGACGGGGGCCCGCACAAGCGGUGGAGCAUGUGGUUUAAUUCGAUGCAACGCGAAGAACCUUACCUGGCCUUGACAUCCACGGAAUUUGGCAGAGAUGCCUUAGUGCCUUCGGGAACCGUGAGACAGGUGCUGCAUGGCUGUCGUCAGCUCGUGUUGUGAAAUGUUGGGUUAAGUCCCGCAACGAGCGCAACCCUUAUCCUUUGUUGCCAGCGAUUCGGUCGGGAACUCAAAGGAGACUGCCGGUGAUAAACCGGAGGAAGGUGGGGAUGACGUCAAGUCAUCAUGGCCCUUACGGCCAGGGCUACACACGUGCUACAAUGGCGCAUACAAAGAGAAGCGACCUCGCGAGAGCAAGCGGACCUCAUAAAGUGCGUCGUAGUCCGGAUUGGAGUCUGCAACUCGACUCCAUGAAGUCGGAAUCGCUAGUAAUCGUAGAUCAGAAUGCUACGGUGAAUACGUUCCCGGGCCUUGUACACACCGCCCGUCACACCAUGGGAGUGGGUUGCAAAAGAAGUAGGUAGCUUAAC